ACAGCAGUCGCCACGGUAAUACGGAGGAUCCGAGCGUUAUCCGGAAUUAUUGGGUUUAAAGGGUGCGUAGGCGGAUAGAUAAGUCAGUGGUGAAAGACGGUGGCUCAACCAUCGCAGUGCCGUUGAUACUGUUUAUCUUGAAUAUGGAUGAGGUAGGCGGAAUGUGGCAAGUAGCGGUGAAAUGCAUAGAUAUGCCACAGAACACCGAUUGCGAAGGCAGCUUACCAAGGCAAAAUUGACGCUGAGGCACGAAAGCGUGGGGAUCGAACAGGAUUAGAUACCCCAGUAGUCCCUGUCUCUUAUAC
This 305-nucleotide ribosomal RNA is filed under the name uncultured bacterium. Its description in RNAcentral is "partial 16S ribosomal RNA". It matches the Rfam family "Bacterial small subunit ribosomal RNA", at positions 505 to 807 of the family's 1533-position model. The record is from RNAcentral.